This 155-nucleotide unclassified non-coding RNA is filed under the name soil metagenome. Its description in RNAcentral is "partial internal transcribed spacer 1". The record is from RNAcentral.
CAAGUGACCCCGGUCUAACCACCGGGAUGUUCAUAACCCUUUGUUGUCCGACUCCGUUGCCUCCGGGGCGACCCUGCCUUCGGGCGGGGGCUCCGGGUGGACACUUCAAACUCUUGCGUAACUUUGCAGUCUGAGUAAACUUAAUUAAUAAAUUA